GACGAACGCUGGCGGCGUGCUUAACACAUGCAAGUCGAACGGAAAGGCCCUGCUUUUGUGGGGUGCUCGAGUGGCGAACGGGUGAGUAACACGUGCGUAACCUGCCCUGGCGUUGGGCAAACUUCAAGGAACUCGGGCUCAUACCGGGUUGGGGCUCCAGCUGCAUGGUGGGGGUUGGGAAGGUUCGGCGGUUGGGGAUGGAGUUGCGGCUUAUAAAGUUGUUGGUGGGGAUGUUGCCUAGCAAGGCCUUGACGGGGAGCCGGCAUGAGAGGGUGACCGGCCACAUUGGGACUGAGAUACGGCGCAGACGCCUACGGGAGGCAGCAGUGGGGAAUAAUGCACAAUGGGCGGAAGCCUGAUGCAGCAACGCCGCGUGGGGGAUGAAGGCCUUCGGGGUGUAGACCGCUUUCGCCCGUGACGAAGCGUGAGUGACGGUAAUGGGUAAAGAAGCACCGGCUAACUACGUG
This 467-nucleotide ribosomal RNA is filed under the name uncultured bacterium. Its description in RNAcentral is "partial 16S ribosomal RNA". It matches the Rfam family "Bacterial small subunit ribosomal RNA", at positions 28 to 507 of the family's 1533-position model. The record is from RNAcentral.